UUGCUGUGACGUUUGUUUGCGUGUUGAUCACCCGUUUUCCCGUCCACACACGUAUCCUCGUGUAGAUGUCCACCAAGUACCAUACGAUGUUUUUUUCCGGGCCACUGCUACGAUUUGUGCAAUUACAACCGCACGAUGGAUUUCUCCUUCCUCAACUACUUCGUUAAAAAAUAAAAGAAAAAUAGUCAUGGCGCAUGUGAUACAGGCAGUCCGUGAACUCCCCAGAACCCAGCCAGCUCGCCGGCCACCCUGGCCCGCUUGCCUCGCCUGCCGGUCGCCGUCGUCGCCGGUGGUUGGCUGGCCGCCGUCCUCUAGCCAAAAAAUACAUGGUUCCAACAAACAAAAAGCUUGUGUCCAGCAAAAACAAUGUAAGGUUCCAGCAAAAAUAAAUGGAUCUCGUCGCCGGUGGUCGCCCUCCUUGGAGCUUGCAUCAUCUGUCCUCUAGCAUGUCGUCGCCAUCGUAGCACCUGCAGCUCGAAAACAUGCUGCUUCCAAUAUACAACAACCAUGGUUGUAGCAUCCCAGCGUCCUCAUCUCCGGCUCGCCGUCCUUGUCUUCCACUGCCAUGUCCAGCAACAAAAAACCUUCAGUACUUGGUUGAAGCAAAAAGGUUUGCUGGUUCCAGCAAAACUUACCGAUGGUUCCAGCAAAAAUCCCAGCGGCAAAAAACUCGGAUAAUCCAUUGUAGCAAACAAAUUAGCCAGUUCCGGCAAAAGAAAAGGCUGGUUCCAGCAAAAAUCUCAGCGGCAAAAAACUCGGAUAAUCGAUUGUAGCAAACAAAUUAGCCAGUUCGAGCAAAAGAAAAUGCUGGUUCCAGCAAAAUAAAAACAAUAGAGAAAAACACUAGUGCCGAUAGCAGCAAUAAUAAGGGCCAAUUCCAGCAAAAACAAACGCUGGUUCCAGAAAAAAAAUGCUUCGUGUGGCGACGCGCGUCCGAUUCCAGCAUAAUCACCUACCGGUCGGUUCCAGCAUCUCCUACCGAGGUUCUCCAUGCGCAGUAACACCUCCAGCUCGCCAUGUCGUGCGUCCCCAUGCGUAGCCGGCCGCCCCACAUCGAAGCACAUCACCUAUGUUGCCGCCUCACAGCCCGACGACGUGGGUAGAUGUGGGGGAAGGAGAGGAAGGAGAUAGGUGAUUGUGGAGGGGUUGUCUAACGGGAGAUGAGAGAAGAGAUGUCUCUCCAUGGCGGCUGAUGUAGGAGGAGGUAGCAUCCGCGGGAUGGGCUGAGAGAGAGAGAGAGAGAGAGAGAGAGAGAGAGAGAGAGAAGGGAGAGCAUCCGCGCGUCUAAGAAAGAAUAAGGGGAACGAGUGGCUAGCGAUCGCAGUGCAAAAGGAUA
This 1336-nucleotide long non-coding RNA is filed under the name Triticum aestivum (bread wheat). RNAcentral's name for it is "long non-coding RNA (TAES_LNC011887)". The record is from RNAcentral. Lineage: Eukaryota; Viridiplantae; Streptophyta; Magnoliopsida; Poales; Poaceae.